Coturnix japonica (Japanese quail) is the source of this 767-nucleotide non-coding RNA. NCBI's taxonomy places the organism in Eukaryota, Metazoa, Chordata, Aves, Galliformes, Phasianidae. The record is from RefSeq and is a predicted model, not a curated record.
UGUUCCUGAAAACAGACAAGGAAACAUUAUGCUCAUGUGUCAUAUAUAGUUCAUGUAUUCUUCCUCUGUCCUUUAAAGAAAAGGACCUGUGACAACAUUUCUUUGCAGCACUGGCUCAGAGUGAGGCAGAAAAGAAGCAGGACUGGGCAUCAAUGUGCACCAAACCAGAUAGCUCUGCAGGAGUUACUUGCUACUACAAAUGGAUAUAAUUCUCUUCAACUGGAAAAUGUUCUUCAGAAAUGACCUGCGCAUUAUUGUCUUCAAUCUCCCCCAGCCCAGGGCAGAAUGGAUCAAGCUAGAAGUGAAAAUCCAUCGUAGUAUUAAAGUAAGUUCUGAUCAGCUCCAUGUGCCCAGCCAGUCUAAUGCUGUGCUUUGAGAAUGACAUACAGAGGCCACAGCACAGGGAAAGGCUGAGUCGUGGACUUCUGAAUUACCUAAAAACUAAAAAAGUUAUCAGUGGGAAAAAAUAAGUGUGCUAUGGUAUUUAAUAUAACUAAAUAGUAAUAGCUGUUCUGUGCAGUGGUUUAUAUAUGCUGUGCUGGAUUUGUUUGUGGAUAAGCUGAACAACACCUGAGCUUUGAAAACAAACUCUCUGACAGUAUAUUGUUCAAAAUGACCACUGAUGAAAAAUGGCAGAGACAAGCAGAUAAAGCAGGCACGGCACCUGGGAAAGAGGGAAUAUUCCCAGCUCCCACUGAAGUCAGUGAGGCUGAAUUAAGAAGAAUUUGAGUGCCAGCACGUGGUCGUUACUUGCUGAUAUCUCAGUG